CUGCUGUGAACCAUAUUCCAGCAGUAACCUUUGAAAUCCAUCACUUGACUGCACACAAGUGUGGUCUAAAAGGGACUUGUCGGAGAAUUCUUUCCAGAAUGCCACCUACCUCGAUUCUUUAACUUUUCUCUCUGAAUUUACAUGGCUUUCUGGUUUAGCACUGCAUAUCCAAGGCACACAAGAAAUUUGAGAUAUUCAGUCCAAGGUAAAUUAAGGGAACGUGAUUAUCAGGACUUUGAAAGACCCAGUAGUCACCAGCUAAAAUGUACCACAAAAAGAACCCAGCUACGACAACAAGGGAAGUCCCUGAAAAAGGCUGGAAGCAAAAUGACCAUAAUUGAAAUCUGAAAGCAGCAACUUCAUAGAGAAGUAAACGAAGAGGCGGCUCUUUGUAAAUGAUGAUCUAAAAAGUGUUCUGGGUUGUAAGACCUCAUUUCAAAUGUAUUCAUUAAAUAAUAU
Long non-coding RNA from Lepidothrix coronata (blue-crowned manakin), 459 nucleotides. RefSeq lists it as uncharacterized. The record is from RefSeq and is a predicted model, not a curated record. The transcript is spliced from 3 exons. NCBI's taxonomy places the organism in Eukaryota, Metazoa, Chordata, Aves, Passeriformes, Pipridae.